This 220-nucleotide unclassified non-coding RNA is filed under the name soil metagenome. RNAcentral describes it as "partial contains 5.8S ribosomal RNA, internal transcribed spacer 2, and large subunit ribosomal RNA". The record is from RNAcentral.
AACGCACGAGACCUGCGGACCUGCGGAGGGAUCAUUACAGGACUCGCAAGACUCCUAUAACCCUGUGAACUUACUACAAAGCACGUUGCUUCGGCGGGUGCCUCCGGGUGGUUUUCCUCCUGGAAGCGCUAAGCCCGCCGGCAGCCUACUAAAUUCUGUCUCUUUGCGUUGGCAUCUCGAGUACAAACAAAUAAGUUAAAACUUUCAACAACGGAUCUCU